UUGAAGAAUCUAGAGUCAAGCUCUGAAAUUAUUCACUUCCUGCUCGUCUUCUUCAGUUAUGUAUAUGGAGAAUUGGUUGAGGAAUGAGGAUGAUGUGGUUUCUUGAUCGAUUUCAAGGUUUUUAGGAAGCUCAAGAUGGACUUUCGGAUGUUAUGCUUUAGAUGUUGUUUUAAUGUUUUGGUCGUGUUUGAUAGUUUUUUUUAUGUUUUAGGUUGUUUGAAAUUUGAUCAUAUAGAUUUAUUUCUAGUUUAGCUCAUCGUCAGGGACUUGUUAGGUGCCAAUUGUUACACCAUAGCUAAUGGUUUGG
This 307-nucleotide long non-coding RNA is filed under the name Helianthus annuus (common sunflower). RNAcentral describes it as "hypothetical non coding rna". The record is from RNAcentral. Lineage: Eukaryota; Viridiplantae; Streptophyta; Magnoliopsida; Asterales; Asteraceae.